UACAGAGGGUGCAAGCGUUGUUCGGAAUUAUUGGGCGUAAAGCGCGUGUAGGCGGUUUUGCAAGUCGGGUGUGAAAGCCCUCAGCUCAACUGAGGAAGUGCGCCCGAAACUGCGGAUCUUGAGUACCGGAGAGGGUGGCGGAAUUCCCCAAGUAGAGGUGAAAUUCGUAGAUAUGGGGAGGAACACCGGUGGCGAAGGCGGCCACCUGGACGGAUACUGACGCUGAGACGCGAAAGCGUGGGUAGCAAACAGG
This 253-nucleotide ribosomal RNA is filed under the name uncultured bacterium. Its description in RNAcentral is "partial 16S ribosomal RNA". It matches the Rfam family "Bacterial small subunit ribosomal RNA", at positions 524 to 776 of the family's 1533-position model. The record is from RNAcentral.